This 494-nucleotide ribosomal RNA is filed under the name uncultured bacterium. Its description in RNAcentral is "partial 16S ribosomal RNA". It matches the Rfam family "Bacterial small subunit ribosomal RNA", at positions 28 to 507 of the family's 1533-position model. The record is from RNAcentral.
GACGAACGCUGGCGGCGUGCUUAACACAUGCAAGUCGAACGGUGAAGCGCCUUCCUUUUUGGUUGGUGUGGAUGAGUGGCGAACGGGUGAGUAACACGUGAGUAACCUGCCCCCUUCUUCUGGAUAACCGCAUGAAAGUGUGGCUAAUACGGGAUAUUCUGGUUCUGUCGCAUGAUGGGUCUGGGAAAGAUAUUGUUUCGGUGGGGGAUGGGCUCGCGGCCUAUCAGCUUGUUGGUGGGGUGAUGGCCUACCAAGGCGGUGACGGGUAGCCGGCCUGAGAGGGUGGACGGUCACACUGGGACUGAGACACGGCCCAGACUCCGACGGGAGGCAGCAGUGGGGAAUAGUGCACAAUGGGCGCAAGCCUGAUGCAGCGACGCCGCGGGAGGGAUGGAGGCCUUCGGGUUGUGAACCUCUUUCGCCAGUGAAGCAGGCCUGCCUCGUUUGUGGGUGGGUUGACGGUAGCUGGAUAAGAAGCGCCGGCUAACUACGUG